ACAACUCUAUGGAAAGAUCUGUUCUUUCUUGCUCUAUUUGUGGAAUGAGAGUAGGUAUAAAAAGACAUAAAAUAUAUGCCUGCAUUGUGUGCAUAAGUAUUUAAAGAUAUAUAGUAGUAGGUAAGUCCAAGUGGGUAUUUUUUCGUUCAAUUAAAUAAUUGCUAAACGGGAACGUACAAUAAAGAACGUUCCCCUUUGUGGUGAAUAGCAUGACCGAAUGGCGUGGCAUAGCGUGAAUUCCAUAAUUCAUCAUACUUGGCGUAGUUGAAUGUAAAAGGAAGUUGCUGUUGCGGGGUUGAAAUCAAAUGAUUGAUUUUAAAACGUGUCUCUAAAUACACCGGAAACAUCGCAACGUUGAAAAAUCAACCUCUAUUUAACCGAGCAACGAAGCAGAAUAAACUCUGCUUUGACCUGAUCACCAAAGUCAAAGUUAUUUUUAAUUCGCCAGAGAAUCGCGAGAAUUUUAUGUUUCUUAUUUGUCCUAGGACAAGAAGAAGAAAGCAAUAAAACACCGUUUUUUAUUUCA
Long non-coding RNA from Folsomia candida, 526 nucleotides. RefSeq lists it as uncharacterized. The record is from RefSeq and is a predicted model, not a curated record. NCBI's taxonomy places the organism in Eukaryota, Metazoa, Arthropoda, Collembola, Entomobryomorpha, Isotomidae. The transcript is spliced from 2 exons.